Molecule: ribosomal RNA, 517 nt
Filed under: uncultured bacterium
Lineage: Bacteria
Description: bacterial SSU rRNA
Rfam family: Bacterial small subunit ribosomal RNA
Source: RNAcentral
AGAGUUUGAUUCUGGCUCAGGAUGAACGCUAGCGGCAGGCUUAACACAUGCAAGUCGAGGGGUAACGCGAGGUAGCAAUACUUUGGCGACGACCGGCGCACGGGUGCGUAACGCGUAUGCAACCUACCUGUAACAGGGGUAUAACGGGGUGAAAAUCCCACUAAUUCCCCAUAUUGUUAAAGAUUCGCAUGUUUCUUUAACGAAAGCUUCGGUGGUUACGGAUGGGCAUGCGUGACAUUAGCUAGUUGGUAAGGUAACGGCUUACCAAGGCGACGAUGUCUAGGGGAGCUGAGAGGCUUAUCCCCCACACUGGUACUGAGACACGGACCAGACUCCUACGGGAGGCAGCAGUGAGGAAUAUUGGUCAAUGGACGGAAGUCUGAACCAGCCAUGCCGCGUGGAGGAAGAAGGUCCUAUGGGUUGUAAACUCCUUUUGUUCCGGAGUAAUAAGGUCUAUGCGUAGACCGAUGAGAGUACGGGACGAAUAAGCAUCGGCUAACUCCGUGCCAGCAGCCGC